GCCCUGCUGACACCUUGAUUUUGGACUUCUAGCCUCCA
RNAcentral lists this microRNA (38 nucleotides) under Canis lupus familiaris (dog). RNAcentral's name for it is "miRNA (ENSCAFG00000057936.1, ENSCAFG00845004035.1)". The record is from RNAcentral. Lineage: Eukaryota; Metazoa; Chordata; Mammalia; Carnivora; Canidae.